GAGUGCAUAUCCAUCGGAAUGAAGGUCGAAUACUCAAUGGAAGAAGUCACUUGACCUAUCCAAAUCUGGAAGAAUUCAGAAGCAUUACAAAACAAGAAAAGAGAGGGAGCACCGCAAGUCAGUUAGUAAAUAUCACCCACAGGCUUGAGCCUGAUGGUACGCCUUACAAUUAUGCCUCGUCAUCCAAGGGUGCUAAAGUGGUGGCCCAUAAUAAAGAAGCAAAAGGAGCAAACAACGUACUGAACAAGGAUCAUGAUAAGUAUCUCAGAAACCCUUGUUCUGUGGCCGGGAAAUUCUUUGUUAUUGAGUUUGCAGAUGAAACUCUAGUUGAUGCAGUCAAAAUUGCAAAUUUUGAGCAUUAUUCAUCUAUGCUAAAAGAAUUUGAGUUAUCAGGGAGUUUGGUAUAUCCAACUGAGACGUGGAAUCCACUGGGAACUUUUGUUGCUGAAAAUGUCAAGCAUGCUCAGUGUUUUAAGCUACCUGAACCAAAAUGGGUUAGAUACUUGAAGCUAAAUUUACUCACACAUUAUGGCUCUGAAUUUUAUUGUACUAUCAGUUUUAUCGAGGUAUAUGGUAUUGAUGCCAUAGAGCAGAUGCUUGAGGAUCUCAUCGUCCAUUCCCCCGAGUCUUCUCCUGAUAAAAUGGGAA
This 648-nucleotide unclassified non-coding RNA is filed under the name Hevea brasiliensis (rubber tree). Lineage: Eukaryota; Viridiplantae; Streptophyta; Magnoliopsida; Malpighiales; Euphorbiaceae. The record is from RNAcentral.